RNAcentral lists this ribosomal RNA (461 nucleotides) under uncultured bacterium. Its description in RNAcentral is "partial 16S ribosomal RNA". It matches the Rfam family "Bacterial small subunit ribosomal RNA", at positions 28 to 507 of the family's 1533-position model. The record is from RNAcentral.
GAUGAACGCUGACAGAAUGCUUAACACAUGCCAGUCUUUGGCGAAGCUGUGCUUGCACCGCCUAGCCAAGGCGGACGGGUGAGUAACGCGUAAGGAACUUGCCCUGCAGUCAGGGAUAACAGACGGAAACGACUGAUAAGACCUGGUAAAGUCAGGCGGACUCAUGUCCAGCCUGAUGAAAAGAGAUGCUGCAGGAGAGCCUUGCGUCCUAUUAGCUUGUUGGUGGGGUAACGGCCACCAAGGCGAUGAUAGGUAGCCGGCCUGAGAGGGUGGACGGCCACAAGGGGACUGAGAUACGGCCCUUACUCCUACGGGAGGCAGCAGUGGGGAAUAUUGGACAAUGGGGGCAACCCUGAGCCAGCAAUUCUGUGUGCACGAUGAAGGUUUUCGGAUUGUAAAGUGCUUUCAGCAGGGAAGAAAAAAUGACGGUACCUGCAGAAGAAGCGACGGCUAAAUACGUG